CCCACAUCCGAAUCUGGGGGUUGUGUCCUUUGUUGGAUAUUUGUCUCCUUGGGUGAGAUGUUCACACUCCCUGAGGCAGGAGGCAACCGCUGACAUGGGGAGCGCGAACUGCGGCCUGAGGAGCCCGUCCCUCUAGGAACGCAGCAGAGUUAGCUUUGAGUUGGUAAAAGAAUCCUGGUUGAGAGCAUCUGCUAGGAGGGGACUUACAUCCAUGUGCCUCUGUCUUCACCAUGAAGCUUUGUGCUAAACAGUAUUUUACUAUUUUGCCCCAACUGAGGUGACUUUGACUGCUUCCUGGAACAAAUGAACUGUUUUCCAGUCUUCGCCACAGGCUGCAUCUUGG
RNAcentral lists this long non-coding RNA (343 nucleotides) under Equus caballus (horse). RNAcentral describes it as "lncRNA (ENSECAG00000052697.1)". Lineage: Eukaryota; Metazoa; Chordata; Mammalia; Perissodactyla; Equidae. The record is from RNAcentral.